Long non-coding RNA from Centrocercus urophasianus (Greater sage-grouse), 1228 nucleotides. RefSeq lists it as uncharacterized. The transcript is spliced from 2 exons. Lineage: Eukaryota; Metazoa; Chordata; Aves; Galliformes; Phasianidae. The record is from RefSeq and is a predicted model, not a curated record.
UGGAUGAUGUGUGGUGGUUUAACAGGUAGCUUAAUCCCAGAGCAGAUCAAACUUGUGAACUCUAGAACCUAUCAGUCUUCAAAGAUUACCUCGAGGUGUACAUUUCCUAAAGCAAGAAAUUUUGCCUGCUCUGGAGAAACGAUAACUGCAACCACAUUGCUGGACAGGAAUCAGAAGGAGAAACAGUAAUUGGCCCUCUUCUCAUCUGGGACACAGGGGAUCAAGACAGCUUGUUGACCAGGAACCACUCACCUAGACUGCCAUUAUCCUAAAGCUUGAAGCUUUGCAGGAAUCCAAGAACUGCCAACAUGCCUUUCAUGUCUUAUAAUGAUUACUGCAACAGACCUCUUAAGAAAUGAACAUAGAACACCUAUGCUUGCUACAUAAAAGGGGGAAGGUUGGAGAAGAAAAUAAUUCAGAAAAACAGAAGGAAAAAGUUGUUCUCCUUGGCUAUUGAAGUUUUUCCUUCCUGCUGCUUUCUGUAAAAGUAGAAGGACUGACUGAAUGGAAAUCACACGAAGAAGUCUCCAGAUUUUUUUUUAAUCACUGCGUAGCCUACGCAUCCUCUUCCCUCCUCUCUCCCUAAGGUGAAUAUGACACAACCAGAAAAUCCAGCAGAUGAGUACUCAAGCACAAUAAGAAAGUCUGUCCAGGCUGCAGCCUCGCUAUCUGCUCUGCUAAAGCUUUAUGCCUUCUCUUAAUGGCUUUAUGCCUUCUCCUAAAACAGCCUGCAUCUCUUUUGUGUGUACCUUGUAUGCUUUGGGAACAAUUACCUUUCAAGAAGAUCAAAAGGACACCUCUAAUAUCAGUCACUUGCGUUGCAGUAUUACCAAUUCAUACAUUUGUUUCCGUGUUUAAAUGACUACUUUCAUAAUUUGGUUCCGCGCUUUGUUCAUACUGAGUUAUCUCAACCCACAAUAUUGUUAUUGCAAACGUCUGUUGAAAGAUUUAAAUGAACAAUUGAGGAAGCAGAAAACCACAGCUGGUCCUAUCGUUGGGACAUUUUAAUCUACUUGUAUUUGAUUUUCUUCUCUAAACACAUCACUGUUGUGUUGAUGCUUCUUCUAAGGAUUAAUUAGCAAAGCAAUUAACAUGUUUUAACCUUUCUGUUUACUUACCCAUCCCUAAGGACAUACGUACCUUGGUCAGUUUGUGCUUCAAAAUUACACUUUUUGAUGUUGUUUUGUCAAGGUCAGAUUAAUUAAAUACUGCUUUACAUACAACCAAA